UGAGGAAUAUUGCGCAAUGGCCGAAAGGCUGACGCAGCGACGCCGCGUGAAGGAUGAAGUCCGUUAGGAUGUAAACUUCUUUUGCGGGGGAUGAAUGGUCCGCCUCGUGCGGACGUGACCGUACCCCGCGAAUAAGGGUCGGCUAACUACGUGCCAGCAGCCGCGGUAAUACGUAGGACCCGAGCGUUGUCCGGAAUUACUGGGUGUAAAGGGCGUGUAGGUGGGCCUCUAAGUCGGAGGUGAAAUCCUGCAGCUUAACUGCAGAACUGCCUCCGAUACUAAAGGCCUUGAGUGCGGCAGAGGGAGAUGGAAUUCAUGGUGUAGCCGUGAAAUGUGUAGAUAUCAUGAAGAACACCGGUAGCGAAGGCGGUCUCCUGGUCCGUAACUGACACUGAGGCGCGAAAGCGUGGGGAGCAAACAGGAUUAGAUACCCUGGUAGUCCACGCCUUAAACGAUGGGUACUCGGUGCUGGGCCGCAAGGUUCAGUGCCAACGCUAACGCAUUAAGUACCCCACCUGGGGAGUACGAUCGCAAGGUUG
Molecule: ribosomal RNA, 539 nt
Filed under: uncultured bacterium
Lineage: Bacteria
Description: bacterial SSU rRNA
Rfam family: Bacterial small subunit ribosomal RNA
Source: RNAcentral